CGGGGCGUAGCGCAGUUGGCAGCGCGCCGUGUUUGGGACGCGGAGGUCAUGGGUUCAAAUCCCGUCGCCCCGA
This 73-nucleotide transfer RNA is filed under the name Chloroflexota bacterium. RNAcentral's name for it is "Chloroflexi bacterium (hot springs metagenome) tRNA-Pro". It matches the Rfam family "tRNA". Rfam says of the family: Transfer RNA (tRNA) molecules are approximately 80 nucleotides in length. Their secondary structure includes four short double-helical elements and three loops (D, anti-codon, and T loops). Lineage: Bacteria; Bacillati; Chloroflexota. The record is from RNAcentral.